UACGUAGGGUGCGAGCGUUAAUCGGAAUUACUGGGCGUAAAGCGUGCGCAGGCGGUUUCACAAGCUCGAUGUGAAAGCCCCGGGCUUAACCUGGGAAUGGCAUUGAGGACUGUGGAGCUCGAGUGCGGCAGAGGGAGGUGGAAUUCCACGUGUAGCAGUGAAAUGCGUAGAGAUGUGGAGGAACACCGAUGGCGAAGGCAGCCUCCUGGGCCGACACUGACGCUCAUGCCCGAAAGCGUGGGGAGCAAACAGG
Molecule: ribosomal RNA, 253 nt
Filed under: uncultured bacterium
Lineage: Bacteria
Description: partial 16S ribosomal RNA
Rfam family: Bacterial small subunit ribosomal RNA
Source: RNAcentral